GCCUACAGCCUUCCCAGUCUAAAAGUGCCUGAUCUUGUCCGAUCUCAGAAGUCAUGCAGAUGUGGGCCUGCUUAGUACUUGUAUGGGAGACCAACUAGGAACCUCAGGUGCAGUAAGCU
This is a non-coding RNA of Pelobates cultripes (western spadefoot toad), 119 nucleotides long. NCBI's taxonomy places the organism in Eukaryota, Metazoa, Chordata, Amphibia, Anura, Pelobatidae. The record is from the annotation of a GenBank genome assembly.